UGGGGAAUAUUGCACAAUGGGCGCAAGCCUGAUGCAGCCAUGCCGCGUGUGUGAAGAAGGCCUUCGGGUUGUAAAGCACUUUCAGCGGGGAGGAAGGCGUUAAGGUUAAUAACCUUGGCGAUUGACGUUACCCGCAGAAGAAGCACCGGCUAACUCCGUGCCAGCAGCCGCGAUAAUACGGAGGGUGCAAGCGUUAAUCGGAAUUACUGGGCGUAAAGCGCACGCAGGCGGUUUGUUAAGUCAGAUGUGAAAUCCCCGGGCUCAACCUGGGAACUGCAUCUGAUACUGGCAAGCUUGAGUCUCGUAGAGGGGGGUAGAAUUCCAGGUGUAGCGGUGAAAUGCGUAGAGAUCUGGAGGAAUACCGGUGGCGAAGGCGGCCCCCUGGACGAAGACUGACGCUCAGGUGCGAAAGCGUGGGGAGCAAACAGG
RNAcentral lists this ribosomal RNA (429 nucleotides) under Chloroflexota bacterium. Its description in RNAcentral is "Chloroflexi bacterium partial 16S ribosomal RNA". It matches the Rfam family "Bacterial small subunit ribosomal RNA", at positions 355 to 776 of the family's 1533-position model. The record is from RNAcentral. Lineage: Bacteria; Bacillati; Chloroflexota.